Molecule: long non-coding RNA, 1310 nt
Organism: Oryzias melastigma (Indian medaka)
Lineage: Eukaryota; Metazoa; Chordata; Actinopteri; Beloniformes; Adrianichthyidae
Exons: 3
Source: RefSeq, a predicted model, not a curated record
GUGCCCCACCCAGAAUACGCCUCUCCCCACUUCUCCGUCGCCGACCUUUUUGGCGUCCUUGAAAAACUAAACCAAUCCCAUCAUAAAGAGAAGAGGUGGGGGGAGAAGGAGUUCCAUGUCCAUUCAUACAAAGUGCUUCAGAGAGCACUCAUGAUAAUUAGCAAUUAUGAAGGAAAACUGUCGGUUGUCUAAAAGUCAAUCCAUUUAUUUCCAGGAGCCCAGAAUGUUGGGGGGAUGGGUCCUACAGAGGACUCUCUUUCAUAGAGCAACCCCCCAAGAGAAAAAAAGAACACCUACGUAAGCUUCAUUAAUGACGUCAUGGAGUCAUCUUUUGUUGUCUUCAACAUGUUCAAUAAUUUACCCAUUUAUUGAUCUGUGCAGGGCUAAACAGUGACAUAGUAGUUAGUGCUCUUUCCUAACCAAGAGAAGGGUUCAAAUUCUGGUUUCCUCCCACAGACCAAAACCAGGCUUCAUAAGUUAACUGCUGACUCUACAUUGCCAAUAGGUGUGGAUGUUAGUGUGUGGCCCUCCAACCGACUGGCGACCUGUUCAGGAGAUACUAUGUGACGCAUUAGGGAUUCUGUGGUUGGAUGGAUGGAUCUGUGGUCGGAGUGUAAUGGAUCAUGGCUUUUGAAGGUUUUUGCAGCUAUCAUGUGAGAAGUUAGUUCAUAUUCAGAUGCUGUUUCUAUAAAGACGAUCCAGGUUUGUACUGCUGUGGUCAUGUUUUACCAAACUACCACGAAUGUCACUGUUGGAGGAAUAUCAACGCGCUGAAGCGUGCUUGUGAAAAACGGCUCCCAGAAAGUCCCGAGACUUCAUCACACACUCUUCCUACGGAGAUUGGAGGAAAUUCUGGGAACCAAAUGAUUAUUUUCCUAAACAUGGAUGGACGGAGAUGAGAUAACAGAGAGCAGACACUGCAGUCUGAUAAACAUCUGCUGUGUGUAGGACAGAGACACUUUAUCUUAGGAGAGAAGAAUCGAGUUACUGUGAGCAGCUGAGGAGCGUCUACGGCCAAAUGAACGUUGCUGCUCCUCAAAUCGAAUAAGGCUGGAGAACUUAAUUAUGAAACCAGCUUUGUUCCGCUCAAGACGUCUGCAGGUAGUCUGGAGCCACAAGUACCGUGAAGUCAAACGCUCCAAAUCAGGAAACGGACGGAUUUUGGAGGAUUCACAUGCAGGAAUCAGCUGCAAUCAUUGAGAAUGAUCCAUUUCAGGCUCUGGCGGGUUGUCUUCAAAAUAAAAGAUGAAUCCAUUUUAGAUGUUCUUAUGUGUGAAAAUAGGUGUGAUGGUCUAAAAGUUUUUGUUUGA